CGUCCUAUUAGCUAGUUGGUGAGGUGAAUGGCUCACCAAGGCUACGAUGGGUAGGGGUUCUUAGUGGAAGGUCCCCCACACUGGCACUGAGAUACGGGCCAGACUCCUACGGGAGGCAGCAGUAGGGAAUAUUGGUCAAUGGGCGCAAGCCUGAACCAGCCAUGCCGCGUGCAGGAUGAAGGCUCUCUGAGUCGUAAACUGCUUUUGUACAGGAGCAAAAAAAUCCCUGCGGGGGUUCUUGAGAGUACUGUAAGAAUAAGCACCGGCUAAUUCCGUGCCAGCAGCCGCGGUAAUACGGGAGGCGCAAGCGUUAUCCGGUUUUAUUGGGUUUAAAGGGUGCGUAGGCGGCUUAUUAAGUCAGUUGUGAAAUCCUAGUGCUUAACGCUAGAACUGCGAUUGAUACUAUU
This 407-nucleotide ribosomal RNA is filed under the name Cardinium endosymbiont of Bemisia tabaci. RNAcentral describes it as "bacterial SSU rRNA". It matches the Rfam family "Bacterial small subunit ribosomal RNA", at positions 234 to 637 of the family's 1533-position model. Lineage: Bacteria; Pseudomonadati; Bacteroidota; Cytophagia; Cytophagales; Amoebophilaceae. RNAcentral also lists the same sequence under 1 other name. The record is from RNAcentral.